UACUUGUUUAUUUAUUUUUGGUGAGGAAGACUAGCCCUGAGCUAAAAUUGGUUGCCAAUUUCCCUCUUUUUGCUUGAGGAAAAUUGUCGCUGAGCUAACUUCCAUGCCAAUCUUCCUCUAUUUUGUAUGUGGGAUGCCACCACAGCAUGGCUUGAGUGGUGCAUAGGUCUGCAUCUGGGAUCUGAAUCCACAAACCCUGGGCUGCCAAAGCAGAGCCCGCGAAUUUACACCACCAGGCCAACCCCAAUAUUUUUUACUGAGGUAACAUUGGUUUAUAAUAUCACAUAAAUAUCAGGUGUAUAUCAUUAUAUUUUGAUUUCUGUGUAGACUACAUCAUGUUCACCACCCAAAGUCUAAUUGCCAUUUAUCACUAUACACAUGUGCCCUUUUACCACUUUCACCCUCCCCUGAUCUCCUUUCCCUCUGGUAACCACCAAUCUAUUCUCUGUGUCUAUCUGUUUGUUUAUUGUUGUUUUUAUUAUCUUCCAUAUAUGAGUGAAAUCAUACAGUAUUUGACUUUCUCUGUCUGCUUUAUUUCACUUAGCAUAAUGCCCUCAAGGUCCAUCCAUGUUGUUGCAAAUGGAAAGACUUGAUCUUUUUUCAUGGCUGAGCAGUAUUCCAUUGUGUAUAUAUAUAUAUACCACAUCUUCUUUAUCCAUUCAUGCAUUGAUGGACACUUGGAUCGUUUCAAAGUCUUGGCUAUCAUAAAUAAUGCUAAAAAGAAUAUAGGGGUGCAUAUAUCUCUUCGAAUUAGUGUUUUAUGUUCUUUGGAUAAAUACCCAGAAGUAAAAUAGCUGGAUCAUAUGGUAGUUCUAUUCUUAAUUUUUUGAGGAAUCUCCAUACGGUUUGCCAUAACAGCUGCACCAGGUUACAUUCCCACCAGCUGUGUAUGAAUGUUCCCUUUUUCUCCACAUCAUCUCCAACACUAAUUAUUAGGGAAAGGUAAAUCAAAAUGACAACAAGAUAUUACCUCAUGCCUGUCAGAAUAGCUAUUAUUGUGUUUUUGUUUUAAAU
This 1014-nucleotide long non-coding RNA is filed under the name Equus caballus (horse). RNAcentral's name for it is "lncRNA (ENSECAG00000047801.1)". The record is from RNAcentral. Lineage: Eukaryota; Metazoa; Chordata; Mammalia; Perissodactyla; Equidae.